Astatotilapia calliptera (eastern happy) is the source of this 1558-nucleotide long non-coding RNA. NCBI's taxonomy places the organism in Eukaryota, Metazoa, Chordata, Actinopteri, Cichliformes, Cichlidae. The record is from Ensembl.
UGAUGAGAUUUUCUGCUUCUGAGGAAGUGAAGAAGAACCUGACGGGCACUGUGGGAGGAAACAUCACUCUACCUGACUCUGUGCUGGGGGAAGGAUUUCUGUUAUAUGAAAGAAAGAUUAUUGCUCUGGUGAAUAAUGGAGAAAUUAAAGUCUACAAGAACAGACUUCAGUGGGACAGAAACUCUGGACUCUUUACACUCAGAGAGCUGCAGAGGAACGACUCAGGGAUUUAUACUGUCGACUCUAAAACAGGAAAAGGUUUCACAUCAUCAUAUAAGCUCACAGUGUACGACUCUGUACCGACUCCUGCAGUGAAGAAAAUGUGUGGCUGCAAACCCUGCAGAGGAGAAAACUCUUCCUGUCCAUGUGAGAACCACCUGUGGAGACACAGACGACAACGACACCAACAGCUCGACUGAACCAAGAAACUAUAACAUCCUCAUUAUAAUCUUCUGUGUCCUGAGUGCUACCCUCAUCAUCAUCGUCAUCAUCAUGAAGAGGAAGCAUCCUGUCCAAGACAAGUUUAAACUCCUACAAGCUGCAGGCAGAGCUCCUGUGGAUGAAGUGCUCCUUUACACUGGCACAGCUGACAGCAGACAGGGUGGGAUUUUAGCGGCGGUAUCGGGAACCAGUGAUGGCUCCAGUCUGACAGCAGUGUCUUACAAACUGGUGCUCGUCACACGAGAGGUGUGACUGGCUGGAACGUCCGAGGAAAGCUGGACUCUGGAAAGAAGUUUUCCUUUGGUACUGAUGAUUUGGAUUGAUUAUGAAUAAAGUGCAUUUUUACAGUGUGAAUGUGCCACAGAAGAGUUUCCAUCUACGUCAUCAUGACCUCUGACCUGCUCCUCUGACACUGAUCAUAAAAGACUGUAUCCAGACAAUGGACAGAGGACGCAGCUGUACGUCAUGUUUACCUGUCAAAUCAUUCAAAUGAUGCAACAAAGCAAAGACUUCCCUCUCUGUCACCUACCUGCUGCCUUGACUCCUCUCUCCUCGCGUCUCUUCCUCGCCUCCUCUCUUUGCAUCCUCAGAGGGAGGGUCUAGGACAAGGGGAGAGGAGGUGAGGGAAGGAAACUUUGGAAGGAUCUGAGGUGAACCUUCACGUCUCCUCUUCAUCGUUUACCUUCGUGGACUCUGAAGGCCUCGUAGUAGGUCUGGGACUAGUAGGACCAGGUCUGUGUGUGAGGAGGAGCAGCUGGGCUUGGAAGAAAGCAGCAGAGACUGAAUCACAUUUGAUUCUGAUCAAUAUUCCUUCAAAGGUUUAUUUGUGAUGUGAGUGCAUGUAGAUCUCCAGGACGAGCCUUACUGCUGCUCUGAGGACUGAAAGCUUCACUGAGCUCUGAUUUAUUUCUCUGCUUUUAAUUCACACCUUUAACUUCACACUUUUGUCCACAGUUCAAACUCCAGCAGCUCACAGAGCUCAUCACUGCCUCCGUCAGCUCACAGGGCGCCCCCUUGUGGUCACUGACAAGCUGUUCACAAAUUAGAUUUGAUGUCAUUUAUUCUCAUCUUCCCGACUGUUGCUGCAAAUACAUGAAAUAAAUAACAGAAGCUUUGU